GACGAACGCUGGCGGCGUGCUUAACACAUGCAAGUCGAACGCUGAAGCUUGGUGCUUGCGCUGGGUGGUUGAUUGGCGAACGGGUGAGUAAUACGUGAGUAACCUGCCCUUGACUCUGGGAUAAGCCUGGGAAACUGGGUCUAAUACUGGAUACGACAUGCCACUGCAUGGUGGUGUGUGGAAAGGGUUUUACUGGUUUUGGAUGGGCUCACGGCCUAUCAGCUUGUUGGUGGGGUAAUGGCCUACCAAGGCGACGACGGGUAGCCGGCCUGAGAGGGUGAGCGGCCACACUGGGACUGAGACACGGCCCAGACUACUACGGGAGGCAGCAGUGGGGAAUAUUGCACAAUGGGCGGAAGCCUGAUGCAGCGACGCCGCGUGGGGGAUGACGGCCUUCGGGUUGUAAACCUCUUUCAGCACGGAAGAAGCGAGAGUGACGGUACGUGCAGAAGAAGCGCCGGCUAACUACGUG
Molecule: ribosomal RNA, 472 nt
Filed under: uncultured bacterium
Lineage: Bacteria
Description: partial 16S ribosomal RNA
Rfam family: Bacterial small subunit ribosomal RNA
Source: RNAcentral